Molecule: long non-coding RNA, 345 nt
Organism: Heterocephalus glaber (naked mole-rat)
Lineage: Eukaryota; Metazoa; Chordata; Mammalia; Rodentia; Bathyergidae
Source: Ensembl
CCAGAGGAGCCGCUAUGUGGUUUAUGCAGAACCCUGAUCUUUUGCCAGGAAGUGUGGAAAUUUUAAAACUUAUCGGUCAGUUCCUGAAGGUGUUGGCAGUCUGACCUGGGAAGCAUUUCACCAGACAGAAAAUGAGAAAUGAAAACCUCAAAUUAGUAAUGCUCCCUACUAUCAAGUGGCAAUGAGACCAUGUUCUUCCAGACUUACUCCAGGAGUCAAACUCCCUGCAAAGCUGCUUUUGAGAAAUAAAAGUUCAGUUUAAAACCAAAUUCAUUUGGAACCAGAAGAGACCUAGAAGAGCAAAAGCAAUUCUAAGCAACAAAGACAAGGUAGGAGAUAUCAUAA